This 198-nucleotide ribosomal RNA is filed under the name uncultured bacterium. RNAcentral describes it as "partial 16S ribosomal RNA". It matches the Rfam family "Bacterial small subunit ribosomal RNA", at positions 1303 to 1500 of the family's 1533-position model. The record is from RNAcentral.
GUCUGCAACUCGACUACAUGAAGCUGGAAUCGCUAGUAAUCGCAGAUCAGAAUGCUGCGGUGAAUACGUUCCCGGGUCGUGUACACACCGCCCGUCACACCAUGGGAGUCGGAAAUGCCCGAAGCCGGUGACCCAACCAAAAGGAGGGAGCCGUCGAAGGCAGGUCUGAUAACUGGGGUGAAGUCGUAACAAGGUAAC